AGAGAGGUAUGUUUACAAUAAGAACUGCUAAUUCUUGUUCACCUGAGUUAGAAUCUCAGGCUCACUC
RNAcentral lists this transfer RNA (67 nucleotides) under Paraplagusia bilineata (doublelined tonguesole). RNAcentral describes it as "tRNA-Ser". The record is from RNAcentral. Lineage: Eukaryota; Metazoa; Chordata; Actinopteri; Pleuronectiformes; Cynoglossidae.